UUUUCCACUUUACCCUUUAUUUCUUCUUUCAUCUCAGCCUGCUUUUGUGGCAGCAAUUUUGUCUGGCCUGAAUAAAAUACCUUAUUCACCUUUAGGGAGAAAUGUAAUAUUCUAGUUUUGCAUAGAUUAAUCUGGAGGUGUCUGUGAAAUGUUUAAGUCAAGAAAUCAAUUAGUAUUUGGAUGUAAAAGUCUGGAUCUCAGUGAAGCCCUGGAAUGAACAUAAAAAUUUAGGUAUCAUUGGCUUAGAUGUUUUUAAAGCUCUGAAAAAUGGAUGAGAUCCCCUCAGCUGAAAGUAUGGCAGGAGAAUAUAAAGAGCUAUGACUGUGUCCUGAAGAAUUUCAAGAUCUAAAUGUUGGAUGCAGGAGGCAGAUAGCCCAGGGAGAGAGAGGAAAUUCAUGGUGUUACAGAAGACAAAGAAUCCAAAACUUCCACAAGGAAGGGCAAAAUUUUUCCCAGGUAGGAGAAGCGUUUUCCAACUUCGUUUUACAAAUGGGAAGACAGAGCCACUGAUUUCUUGACCAGCUUAGCCUUAAAUCACAUAACAAAGUUUACUAUGAUCUUCAGAUUGGUUAAACCUGUGUUCAGAUGAUUUGGCUACUGGCCUUGCUGAGGAUAUUUAAGUCAUUAAGACAUUUUGAAGGCCAAAAGAUGAUGACUUUUGGAUUUCACUUCAGGAUAAAGUAAGCCAUGAUAGAUUGAACUAAAUAAUAAAAUACUAAUCAAAAGUCUAUUCUGAAACUGCUUGAAAAAAUAACAAGCUUUACUUUCAGUUUUUCUCUGUUGAAGUCAGCAGGAACAUCACUUUGGAUUACAUGAUGCUACAAAGAAAAGCAACUGGAGCUGCUGAUAAGACACCUACUCGGAGUAAUGAUGCAUAAUGUGAAAAUGCAAUAACCCAGACCUCAUAAGUACGGACGAAUGCCAUCUUUUUAAAGGAAAUGGUUGCAAAUGUGAAGUGCAAUGUGCUGAGCCAUUUUCAAAGGUAUUUUCAUAAACAUGGCAAAAUGCCAAGGCUUGGUUUUUCCCAACCUGAUAGGAAGAGCAAGGAAUGUAACUAUUAUAGGGGCAUCCGGUAUUUGUCCGUGCUGUAUCAUAUAAAUGUUUACGUUCUGUCGAUUCAUUAUUAGUGGCAGUUUUAAUGGGAAUAUAAAUAUUAUAAAGUAUGUUUACUACAGAUAAAUCAUAGGAGUGCUGAAGUCAUUUGCAGUACUAAACCUCAUUUUGGAUAAUUACAGUGCCCCUGAAGAAUGCGUUUAUGUAUUACAAAAAAGGGGAUUGUUAAGAAGAAAACUGUUUUGGGUUGGUGACAUUCUGAAAAGAGUAGAGGCUGAUCCAGUUUGGGGAUAGCUUAGAAAUGUGUGAGAACAUUAAUGAGAAAAGAUUUUAUGAAAUGGAAAAAUGGAAAGCCCCAGUACUUUCAGUUGCUGGGCUAACCUUAUUCAGUCAAAUUUCAUGCAGAUGACUUACUGUAACUACAGAAAUAAGAAAUGAUUAGUUAAGAUUAUGCUGGCAGUAAAGAUACUAAUAUUUUAUUGCACAUUGAGUUGUAGUUUACAUUUUAUGCAGAAGUAAAUUAGACUGCAACGUUGUUUAUCCUUGUUUUAUGGAGGGCUAUUUUCAUCACGGUAUUAACGGUUAUUAUUGGUUUACCUCCUCCCGCUUCCUAUUUUAUUAGAAUAAGGUGAUUUUUAGUUUCCUUAUUUUCCCUGAUAACCAUAAGACACAGUAAAGUUUAAACACAGUGAGUUAACAAGGAGAAUUAAACAAUUGUGUCCUAAUCUUUGGAAGGUCAUAUUAUAAUGAGAUUAAAAUCUCUCCCCUUCAGGUACUGUUCAUUUGUAAACAAGUCUGGCUUGGUCUCUUAUAAAUGUUCCACUGAUUGGAUUAAUUUCCUAUGAAAUAUAAAUUCCUUUUCCUUUCUGACAAGCUAGUCAGAGUCUGCCAGUUUGGUGAUUGUUCAAGAAAAAUGCAGCACGGAAAACAACAAAUGCUGCAGCAAAGUGAAAUGAGCAUAAAAUGAGAUUUAGCUGAGAUUGAGGUAUCUAUAUUGUCAUUCAAAAAGGAAUUCAACAGCCAUUACAUGAGUUCUGUGUUUAGGCUGAGAAGUUGAGUAGCAGCUGAAUGGAGAGAACAGGGCUUUUCACCCCUGGCUGCUCUUCCCAUAACUGUCUGCCCUCUGCCCCAGCGGAUGCCAUGCUUUCCGGACCCCACACAUGACAGCAUCCACACGUGGGCGCUGGUGCAAGCAGACCCCAGUCCUUAACAAAGAGUGCUACUUGAAUAAAUUUGUUAUUUAUGUUACCUGCCUCAAAGUGUUAGUCUUCUCUUAACAUCAGUCUUUCCUCAGGGAAAAAUUUAAUCAGUUUUACUGGGCAAAAAUAUCCACAUCCUUGACUAGUAAUAUUAUUUCCUGGAUUUCUGACUUUGGCUGAAAUUUGAGGAACCUAGUCUAAUUCAGAUGUGAUAACAGAUUUUUUUAUUUUAUUUUUAAGACAAGGUUUUUUUCUGUUACCCAGGCUAGAGUGAAGGUGUGAGAUGAUAGCUCACCGAAGCCUCUAACUUCUGGGCUCAAGUGAUCCUUCCUCUUCGGCCUCCUAAAGUGCUGGGAUUACAACUAAUACGUGUCAGAGCUGGAAGGAGGAUGCAGAUCCUUUUGAUUUCAAGUUCAAGAACACCAUUGAUGUUGGUCUCAGGGAGCUGUAUCUUCAAAACCAAUAGAUAUAUCUUAGAGGGGAAUGAGCUGAAAAGAUAAUUCUAGCUAUAAAGAUGCUAAAUCAGCUGUGUACCUCCUGGCUCUGCUUCUGCCUACUCCUUAAUUCCCACUGGGUUUGUUGCCUGAUUUAUCCCAUAGAUUCUAUGAUUCCACAUUGAAUUGAUCUUCAGCAUCUGGCCCUGGCUGUGCUUCUGGUUCUUUUUUUCUUCAAGGAUCAGGUUUUUCAUCUUGUCCAUCAUCUUCUGGACCUCAAAUACCUGCCAAAGACCAGAUUUUGCCUUAGUUUAGUGACUUGAACUCUACUGAUGAUAUGAAGCAACCCUGCUCUACCUGGUAGAGAAGGAAAAUGUAAGACCUAUGGACCUUACUUUAAGAUGAACUUUUAAAAACAAAUAUACAUAUUCCCAGGAAGUUCCAAAACUUGUCUUUUAUAUGUUAAAAUGUGUUUACACUAAUAUAAAAUGUAACUUUCUUUUUAUUAUUACAAAUAAACCAACUAAUGCC
This is a long non-coding RNA of Sapajus apella (tufted capuchin), 3217 nucleotides long. RefSeq lists it as uncharacterized. The record is from RefSeq and is a predicted model, not a curated record. The transcript is spliced from 3 exons. Lineage: Eukaryota; Metazoa; Chordata; Mammalia; Primates; Cebidae.